AUGAACGCUAGCGACAGGCCUAACACAUGCAAGUCGAGGGCAGCACAAGGAGCAAUCUGAGGUGGCGACCGGCGCACGGGUGAGUAACACGUAUGCAACCUGCCUGUAAGCGGGGAAUAACCCGUUGAAAGACGGUCCAAUACCGCAUAAUACUAAAUUACUGCAUGGUAAUUUAUUUAAACAUUUAUGGCUUACAGAUGGGCAUGCGCAUGAUUAGCUAGUUGGAGAGGUAACGGCUCCCCAAGGCAACGAUCAUUAGGGGUUCUGAGAGGAAGGUCCCCCACACUGGUACUGAGACACGGACCAGACUCCUACGGGAGGCAGCAGUGAGGAAUAUUGGUCAAUGGACGAGAGUCUGAACCAGCCAAGUCGCGUGCAGGAAGAAUGUCCCUAUGGAUUGUAAACUGCUUUUGCAGGGGAAUAAAGUGCAUCACGUGUGAUGUUUUGUAUGUACUCUGCGAAUAAGGAUCGGCUAACUCCGUGCCAGCAGCCGC
RNAcentral lists this ribosomal RNA (494 nucleotides) under uncultured bacterium. RNAcentral describes it as "bacterial SSU rRNA". It matches the Rfam family "Bacterial small subunit ribosomal RNA", at positions 29 to 518 of the family's 1533-position model. The record is from RNAcentral.